Molecule: long non-coding RNA, 2985 nt
Organism: Triticum aestivum (bread wheat)
Lineage: Eukaryota; Viridiplantae; Streptophyta; Magnoliopsida; Poales; Poaceae
Exons: 4
Source: RefSeq, a predicted model, not a curated record
AACAAAAAAACACAGGACACACGGGUACGUAUGCAUCGAAGGAGAGCCGGGGUACGGCCGCCGCCGCCGCCGCCGCCACCUGCGGAUGGUCUUCCUGUCCGGCCAUCCGCGCAGCCCACGCGGGCGAGCUGCCGAUCUGGCUGGGCUGCCUGGCCACGCAGCGGACGGCAGCUGUUCGAGCAACUCCUCGACGCAGGGGAAAAGGUUGGCGGCGCUGGAGUUCGUCGGAACGGGCAGGCGGCCGGUGGGUGACGCGAGGCCGCGGCGCCGGCGCGAGGAAUACGGGCGGAUCCGGGGGCGGCAGCGACCGAUCUGGCUGCUGGUGCGGCGGCUUGCUCCGGCGGCGGCGGCGUCCUGCUCAUUCAUAGAAACAGAGACACGGCGUGAGGGAGAGAGGAAGAAAGGAGAAGGAGCAGGGGGCGCAAGGUCAGGGAGGCUGUCGCUAGCGGUGGCGGCUCCGGCGACCGGCCGGCGGGCUUCCCAGGCAAGGCUAAGGAGUACGCUAGCCUGAGAUUCAAUAGAGACACGGUGAUUCUGGUCGGAGUGGUGGCUACGUGAUUCUGGCCGGCGUGCAUCCAUAGUCAGAGGAUGCCGAGCCUUCCUCGCUGCCAGCAACAUCAGCUCGUCUCGGCAUGAGGUUGAGCAUGGUAAUAAUGUACAGUUUGAACUUCGUGCUGGCAGAACUUUUUCGCCUUGAAGCAUUCUGUGAAUUACACCAUGAAUACUUGAAUAGCAACAACAUCAGGCCAUUUGAGAGAAGGGGUGUCCCUGGAGUUCUCCCUAAAUCUUACUGCAUUCUUAGUGACAAUGAGGAAUUAUUAUUCACUUGAGAAAAUAAAGAUUAAAACGGUGAGGCUCUCAAAAGUGAAAUGACUUUCUGAGCUCGACAUUGACCUUUUUUGAGCUAGAUAUUGACUUUCUGAGUAGCACAAUAUGGGUCCUAUCUGAAGCCUUUUACGUGCCUGUUACAAUGAUGUUUUUAUUUUCCUUUGUAUAUUAACUAGAGAAUAUUAUUGUCUGCUAUAACUGCUGAAAGAUGUCAUAUUCCUUUGUUAUAAUGGUGUUUGCAGUAGGAGUGUACGCCUCUCAUUCAAAGAAGAGGCUCAACAAUCUUUUGGAUGGACUUAUGAUUACCACAUAUAUGAUCUUAUGAAGCAGGAGUUGAGAACUACAAAAUCCAUCUAUUCCUAGAAUGGAGCUGGUUGAAGUUGGGCCUUCAAUGGACCUGGUAGUUAGGUGGCACCGACGUUUAGUAAAGCCAAUUUUUUAUGAGGAAAUGCACCCAAAAAAAGUUUAGUGGAAGUGGAUUAGAUUGUUUGUAGUCAUAUGCUCUUGAGAAAUUUUGCGCUUUCUUUAUUUCUUCUGAUAAUAAUUCUUUGUUUAUUUCCAACUGACAUUGAUAUGCAAAAGAAAAUCCUGUGAUUUUUUUGCCCUCUCAUUGACCAUUUAAUUUUUCAGUCAUAGCUAUAUACAAAGAAGUAUUGUACCAUAUAGUUGUGUUUUCGGAAACGUCUAAAGGCCUGUUACAUGCAUCAUUUUCUCUUUCAUAUCCUUCAUCUGAAACUGAAAAUAUGAACCAUUUUGUUGAUAUGAACAUUAAUUGCAAGGUGAAUAAAUAGUGGUUGACAAUGUGACUGGAUGUACAUGAGCAUAUGUUGUAUCUUUGACGCCAUUCAUUUUGAAUCAUUAGAAUAAUAAAAGAGGUUUGUUUGGAUAAUUAUUUUCCAGGUUUCUAAACACAUUUAUUUAUCUAUUUUGUAUCCAUUGCAACACAUAUGUUUCCCUAAAUAAAAUGACUGUACAAUUGUGUGAACUGAGUGGCUGGUCGUUACUGUAGAUUAAAUUUCUCACAUUAAGAAUCUUUGCCUGACGCUACAAAAAAAAUCUAUGUUUUGUAGGAGGAUUAGUGACCAAAUAUAUCCUUUUUAUUGUAAAUAUUUUAGUCUGCUACUUUGUUCAUUAAUUUUUCUGGGCAUUUAUGCUUAAGUUUUAUUUCAAAGCAAAAUCAUAUUGAGCUAUCUACAAGUUAGAAUUAUCCAAAACAGUUUCUGUAACAUUGUAUAUCAUGUGUUUUCUCUUUUAUUCAUAACAUAAUAUGCAGUCACACAAUUUAUAUCUUGGUUGUGAAUUCCAGAGGGGAAGAUAGCCUUCCUGGCAGUUAGAGCUUCGUCACUUGGAAGGUAGACAAGCAAUGCAAGCCAACAAAGAAAAUUAGUUAGGGAAGCACCGAGUUCGCCGGGAGGUAGCAGAACGUUUGUCGAGCCAUCCAAUAUCGCCAACGGUGGCUACACCAGAGAGUUUACAAACAAGUGUGAAACCUAUAAUGAUGAGUGAUGAUUAUGGUAUGAUUACUGGAUCAAUAAUUCAUAGCAAGGAAGCUAUUUUACUGGAAAAAGUAAAUCCAGUAUUAAACUUAGUAAAUUGUUGGGUAGAUCAGGUUAGAUGCGGCUUAAACCUUCGCCGCUCCCUGCCAUUUAGUACUGGUUGGAGUCUGUUUGAGCUGACCAAUGUGGAGCAGAGUCGCAAUGGAGAUACCCAGUCUCACAUGCUUUAUUCUACUUCUUGUAGUAUAACAGAGCUUGGUUGUAGCUAACUGUGCCCUCAGUCAGUCCCUUAAGAUUUUGUGUAUUUAGAAAUUUAUUUAGAGAUGGUAAAAUAAAGAUCUUGAUGUAUUGACGGUUUGCGGUAGUGGGGCUGUUCUGUUACAGUUCAGGAUACUCAAAUUCCUCCUGCUCGUAUCAUUGUCUCCCUGUAAUGUGAUGUAGCACAGUACUAUGCACUUCAGCAGUAAGCCCAGAACCUAGCUAGCUUACUUGAGGGUCGGCUCCGGAUUUUGACGAUUGUGUUUGUGUAUAAUUUGUGAGGGGUUGUAGAGAGUCAAUUAACAAGUCAAUGAAUACAAACCUGUUUUUCUCUACGGUCCUCUGAACAUACUUGCUAUAAGAACAUAUAUUUCAAUAUUUGAGCAUUGAAAAAAUUGUCAAA